RNAcentral lists this ribosomal RNA (253 nucleotides) under uncultured bacterium. Its description in RNAcentral is "partial 16S ribosomal RNA". It matches the Rfam family "Bacterial small subunit ribosomal RNA", at positions 524 to 776 of the family's 1533-position model. The record is from RNAcentral.
UACGUAGGGUGCGAGCGUUAAUCGGAAUUACUGGGCGUAAAGCGUGCGCAGGCGGUUGUGCAAGACAGAUGUGAAAUCCCCGAGCUUAACUUGGGAACUGCAUUUGUGACUGUAUGGCUAGAGUAUGGUAGAGGGGGAUGGAAUUCCGCAUGUAGCAGUGAAAUGCGUAGAUAUGUGGAGGAACACCGAUGGCGAAGGCAAUCCCCUGGACCUGUACUGACGCUCAUGCACGAAAGCGUGGGGAGCAAACAGG